Malus domestica (apple) is the source of this 1910-nucleotide non-coding RNA. The record is from RefSeq and is a predicted model, not a curated record. NCBI's taxonomy places the organism in Eukaryota, Viridiplantae, Streptophyta, Magnoliopsida, Rosales, Rosaceae.
AAGGACGGGAAAGCCGACCUUUUAUCCUUUUGCUUCCAGAAACAACGAGCUCUCUCUUGCAGAAACCACAAGCUCUAUUCUUCCCUGUUUUUCUUCUCAGCAUCUUACAAAACUAUUUCUUUCUUCAUAUUCUCUUUAUGUUUGGCUGAAAUCCUGAGUUGCCGACUCCCACUGUCUUCCUUCCCGACUUGAGUCAUCGGAAUGCGGAAGACAAUGAAUACGAAGAAGGGGUUGAACCAACACUAGAAUUUGUGAUGACAAAGAAGGACAUAACUGGGAGUGUAGCUCCGGCUACUUUGCUGGUUUUUAAUAAUAAGGUUGGAUUUUCCAGGAAGAAUAUGGACUCGAUCUGCAGUGUAGGACGUUCUACAAAGAAGGGGAAGAGACAACAGGUUUAUUGGAGAAAAAGUGUUUCCAUUUUUUGGUGCAAAGCUCCACGAUUGGCUAGCGUGAAUCUUGGUAUCUUCAUAUGCAUGCAAUGUUCAGGGAUCCAUAAGAGUCUUGGGGUACAUAUAUCAAAUGUGAGAUCUGCCACUUUGGAUACAUGACUCCCAUAGCAGGUUGCAUAUAUCCAAUGUAAUUACCAAUGCUGUUUUACCGGCUUCUUUCCAUUCUGGUAGUAAGGUCAUAUCUCUGUCAAGCAAGGUCGUAUUGAGUGAGAACACCAAGGGCACUCUCUCUUACCCUCACUGACCCACAUUUAAAAAGGGGCACAUUAUGUUUGCACCCUAUUUUCUCAUAUCUCUGUAAAUUUAGCCUGCUGCCGGCAACAGUCGUGGUAGAAGUGGAGGAAAUGACGGUGGUAAUUGAGGUGGAGUGGUAACAGGAGAGGUAGCAGGAGGCAGUGACUAUUGCGGCGAAGACAUUGUUGGUUGCAUGGGUUUUAUUGAAAACAAACUUAUACAUCCCAACGCAAAAGGAGAGAGGAGGCAAUGGAUGGCUUUGUUGAUAACGCACUUCUCUUUGGAAAGAAACAUGUUUGGUCUUCAAUCCACCAUUUAAAUGUGAAAGAGGAAGUUCCCCUCUCACAUGGUUAGAGCUGUAGAGGGGGAGUUCAAAGUCAAGAGGAGGGGCGUAAGCACAUAUUAAGUUUUUGUAUCUCAAUCUGAUUGUUUGAUUUUGGUUGUAUACAUCAUGGGUUGAGUGAUGCAGGUGAAGCUUUGUUUUAGGACCAUCUUGGAGAAGUAUUCUUUGUUGAGCUGCUAGAAAAUGGUCACUCAGUCUCUCAAGGGGGCAGCUUUGGAUUGCCUUUCCAGAAUGUUGAGGUGGUCAUUGAAAUUAAACUAAUUAAAACAUUAUUUGAUAAUUUUGGCAUAUGAAUUUUAAUUGGUAUUGAUUUUUUUUCACAACUUUUGGAACGACAAGAUGGGACUACCAAGUCCAGAGGUCAGAUGGUCCAAGUCCAGAGGUCGGAUGGUCAUCUAAGGUGCUGUUAGUCUUGCUCUCCAAAUGACUCUCAUGAAUGUGAACCUUGAUCAAACGUGCAGAAUAUUUGAGCAUAUUUGAGCAGAUAGUUUAUCCGGUAAAGGUUCUUUGAAAUUUCUGCAGGUAUUUUUGGAAAAAGAGUGAUAUGUCAGCAUAGUCAUGGUAUAUGACAAUGAUAAUUUGAAGAACCAUUUAAAGUAUUUUGAUAUUGCAGCAGAAGGCAGACUUUGAAGAGUUCACGCUGCACAGAAAGAUGAUGAAAUGCUACCCAUUGAAUCCAUCGUUGCUCCAUUGGAGUCGAAGCUUAAGCUUGCUGCAGGAGGUAUACUUCUGUUCUGCAAUAUGACCCCUUUAAUUUGUUUGUACAUGGGAGGUAUAGAGUGUUCAAUGUGUAUUUGGUUUCCAUAUUGUUUAUGGAUCUAUCGACUCAUUUAUUACAUGAAUCAAUAAUUAUAACGAGUUAAUUUUUUUUUACAUGAGCACAA